CCUGGAAAGUUUUUCAGGAAAACCAGUUAAAAUUUCAAUGCUACUUUAUUUUUAUCUUAUCUCUUCUAUUUUUGGUAUAUCAUCGCGAAACCUAAACGUGAUCGCGAAACCUAAACAUCCAUCUCCUUUGAAUCUUCCUCUCUCGAUCACAGAAGAAAAUUUUCGCUAUUUGGUUUCUUUAGCUCUCAAUCACAGCUUUCAAUUGGCGAUGCCUUUUGCUUUUAUGUCGACCGUGCAUUUGAGACCUUGCUUUCAGUCCCUAUUUUGUGUGUUUAGAUCGGUUGCUCUGCAUUGUGGGUUCACAACAGCUGCUUCGGUGAUUUUUGUUUGCUUGACUUGUUCACAGCAGUUGCAUAUGUUCAUAACUGCUUUGCCGGUUCGUGGCUGCUUUAGGGGUUUGCGACUUCGGAGGUUCGCAACUGCUUCGGUUUAACGCGUGUGCGCUUUCCUUUCAGAAUCACGAUAGAAUAGCAUACCACAGUAAUGCGGAUGUUGCCAUUGAUUUAUACCACCACUACAAGCGGGAUGUGGCUAUGAUGAAGGAUAUUGGAUUCAAUGCCUAUAGGUCUCCAUUUCUUGGCCAAGAAUACUACCUCGUGGAGUUAACCGAGAAGGCAUUGUAUAUUAAAACAAUCUCAUAAAUGAUCUGAUAGCAAAUGAACAACAACCUUUUAUAACUCUAUUUCACUCUAGUUUCCCUCAAGCUCUUGAAGAUGAAUAUGGUGGUUUUCUGAAUCUCAAAAUUGUGUAAACAAUAGUGAGAUUAAAGGGGGUUCAUCCCUACAACAAAGAAGAAGUAUCAGGGAGUAUCAAUCUCUAUUUCCUACAAUUGAUUUUUCACUGGCAAGUACCAAGAUUUUUUCACGUUAUGCACCCUUGUGGUUUAUGAUUUCAUAGAAGACAACUAUCCUUUUUUUUUUUCGUUGUACAAUAUUAUGGCAUAUCAAAUACCUUUUUAGAAACAUGCCAUCAAAUACGAAGUUGUAUAUUUUUUAAUUAUUGAUAGUUAUCUUUAUGUAUUUUUUCCUUAAGAAAAAACAAUAUAUUCUUGUUUUUUCUUAAUCAUUUUGAUGAAUUUUACCAAACUGGAAAUUGCCAUCCAGUAUGAUUUGUUCAUAUAUGUAACUCCCAC
Molecule: long non-coding RNA, 1132 nt
Organism: Vigna unguiculata (cowpea)
Lineage: Eukaryota; Viridiplantae; Streptophyta; Magnoliopsida; Fabales; Fabaceae
Source: RefSeq, a predicted model, not a curated record